GAAGAACCUUACCAAGGCUUGACAUAUACAGGAAUACGGCAGAGAUGUCGUAGCCGCAAGGUCUGUAUACAGGUGGUGCAUGGUUGUCGUCAGCUCGUGUCGUGAGAUGUUGGGUUAAGUCCCGCAACGAGCGCAACCCUCGUUCUGUGUUGCCAGCAUUUAGUUGGGGACUCACAGGAGACUGCCGGGGUUAACUCGGAGGAAGGUGGGGAUGACGUCAAAUCAUCAUGCCCCUUAUGUCUUGGGCUGCACGCAUGCUACAAUGGCUGGUACAAACGGCUGCAAUACCGCAAGGUGGAGCGAAUCCGAGAAGGCCAGUCUCAGUUCGGAUUGGGGUCUGCAACUCGACCCCAUGAAGUCGGAGUUGCUAGUAAUCGUAGAUCAGCAACGCUACGGUGAAUACGUUCCCGGGGCUUGUACACACCGCCCGUCACAUCACGAAAGUCGGUAACACCCAAAGUCAGU
Molecule: ribosomal RNA, 465 nt
Filed under: uncultured Actinomycetes bacterium
Lineage: Bacteria; Bacillati; Actinomycetota; Actinomycetes
Description: bacterial SSU rRNA
Rfam family: Bacterial small subunit ribosomal RNA
Source: RNAcentral